CCUACGGGUGGCUGCAGUGAGGAAUCUUGGUCAAUGGACGAGAGCCUGAACCAGCCAAGUAGCGUGAAUGAUGACUGCCCUAUGGGUUGUAAACUUCUUUUAUAUGGGAAUAAAACGUUGCACGUGUGGGUUUUUGUAUGUACCAUAUGAAUAAGGAUCGGCUAACUCCGUGCCAUCACCGGCGGUAAUACGGAGGAUCCGAGGUGUACCCGGACUUAUUGGGUUUAAAGUGAGCGUAGGUUGAUUGUUAAGUCCGUUGUGAAAGUUUGCGGCUCAACCGUAAAAUUGCAGUUGAAACUGGCAGUCUUGAGUACAGUAGAGGUAGGCGGAAUUCGUGGUGUAGCGGUGAAAUGCGUAGAUAUCACGAAGAACUCCGAUUGCGAAGGCAGUUCACUGGACUGCAACUGACACUGAUGUCCGAAAGUGUGGGUAUCAAACAGGAUUAGAUACCCGUGUAGUC
This 460-nucleotide ribosomal RNA is filed under the name uncultured bacterium. Its description in RNAcentral is "partial 16S ribosomal RNA". It matches the Rfam family "Bacterial small subunit ribosomal RNA", at positions 338 to 795 of the family's 1533-position model. The record is from RNAcentral.